CCUACGGGAGGCAGCAGUGGGGGAUAUUGCACAAUGGGGGAAACCCUGAUGCAGCGACGCCGCGUGGGCGAAGAAGUAUUUCGGUAUGUAAAGCCCUAUCAGCAGGGAAGAAGAAAUGACGGUACCUGAUUAAGAAGCACCGGCUAAAUACGUGCCAGCAGCCGCGGUAAGACGUAUGGGGCAAGCGUUAUCCGGAUUUACUGGGUGUAAAGGGAGCGCAGGCGGCACGGCAAGCCUGAUGUGAAAGCCCGCGGCCCAACCGCGGGACGGCAUUGGGAACUACCGGGCUGGAGUGCCGGAGAGGUAGGCGGAAUUCCUAGUGUAGCGGUGAAAUGCGUAGAUAUUAGGAGGAA
Molecule: ribosomal RNA, 353 nt
Filed under: uncultured bacterium
Lineage: Bacteria
Description: partial 16S ribosomal RNA
Rfam family: Bacterial small subunit ribosomal RNA
Source: RNAcentral